UAUCAAUCCGGAUACAGUUUUUGAACAAGCAGAGUGGCGCAAAUUUGGGGACAAAUUGUUUGAUGAAGUUAUCAAUGACAAUAAGACUGCUAAAAAAUUAUCGAAGCCUUGGAAAGCAGUCACUAACGCCUUAGCUAUACAUCAGGCCGAGCAGAGAGUCGCUGCUGCCGCUACAGAGCGACUGGGAUUGCCAGGAAGAGCUGGUAGUGUUAACCCUCAGAUGGACGAGGAAAUAAGAGAGCAAAAACCAGACAGAAAAAACACAAGCCCGUUUACAGACGGUGUUCAACAGAGGCAGAGGAUGUGGAACCAAAUAGCAAAUGAGGCCCUGCGUGAGGGUGAACACGAGAUAGCUGCACAAUUGAUUCCAGAGGCCUUCCCGGUAAUAUACUCACCACCGGACACCCAGGGUAAUGUUACGGUUAAUCUAGUGAAUUUGGACUGGAAAUUGUUAACUCAGCUGCGGUCCACAGUAAAUGACUCAGGUCUGAAAGGUGAACCUACAAGACACAUGCUGGACUACAUUUGGGGAAUGAAUAUUUUGCUUCCAGGAGACAUACGCAACAUAAUGAAAUUAAUUUUGACCCAACACCAGCAGCUUUUAUUUAAUGCCCAUUGGCACGCUGCUUGUCAAGAAGCAGUUGCAGUGAUAAGAGCACCGGGGGACCCUUUACAUGGGGUCACGCUGGAAGAGUUGAUGGGGAUAGGACCGUAUUUUAGGACAGAAGCACAGGCAUUGCUGGGACCUGAUAAAGCCAAGGAAUCAAUGAGAACCGCCAGAAGAGCAUUGGAUCGGAUAAAGGGGCCAGGGGGAAUACCUUCCUACAUGGGAAUCAAACAGGGUAGAGAGGAACCAUUUGGGCUUUUUAUUGAUCGCGUUGCAAAUGCAAUACAGGCGGCAGGGGUGCCCGAUUACCUCCAGGGCACGAUAUUAAAACAGUGCGCAAUUCAGAAUAGCAACCCCUCUACUCGCAAUAUAUUGGCUUCCUUGCCCGGGACAUGGACAAUCGAGGAAGGGUUGGAAAGAAUGGCUCAGGUACCAGUAGGCCCACAAGCUAUGUGUCGUGGUUUAACCCGGCCGG
Molecule: long non-coding RNA, 1082 nt
Filed under: Anas platyrhynchos platyrhynchos (common mallard)
Lineage: Eukaryota; Metazoa; Chordata; Aves; Anseriformes; Anatidae
Description: lncRNA (ENSAPLG00000024741.1)
Source: RNAcentral